RNAcentral lists this transfer RNA (86 nucleotides) under Caudoviricetes sp. Its description in RNAcentral is "tRNA-Gly". It matches the Rfam family "tRNA". Rfam says of the family: Transfer RNA (tRNA) molecules are approximately 80 nucleotides in length. Their secondary structure includes four short double-helical elements and three loops (D, anti-codon, and T loops). The record is from RNAcentral. Lineage: Duplodnaviria; Heunggongvirae; Uroviricota; Caudoviricetes.
ACCAGUGUAGCAAAAUUGGAAUAUGCCUCGGGGGGCGGCCGCAGAUACGACCCCGUGAAGUGCAGGUUCAAGUCCUGCCGCUGGUA